GACGAACGCUGGCGGCGUGCUUAACACAUGCAAGUCGAACGACGAAGCCCAGCUUGCUGGGUGGAUUAGUGGCGAACGGGUGAGUAACACGUGGGCAACCUGCCCCAAACUCUGGGAUAACUCCUCGAAAGAGGUGCUAAUACCGGAUACGAACUAGGUAGACAUCUGCACUAGUUGGAAAGUUUUUCGGUUUGGGAUGGGCCCGCGGCCUAUCAGCUUGUUGGUGAGGUAACGGCUCACCAAGGCUACGACGGGUAACCGGCCUGAGAGGGCGACCGGUCACACUGGGACUGAGACACGGCCCAGACUCCUACGGGAGGCAGCAGUGGGGAACAUUGCGCAAUGGGCGAAAGCCUGACGCAGCGACGCCGCGUGAGGGAUGAAGGUCUUCGGAUCGUAAACCUCUUUCAGUAGGGACGAAGCGAAAGUGACGGUACCUAAAGAAGAAGCACCGGCUAACUACGUGCCAGCCGCCGCAGUAA
RNAcentral lists this ribosomal RNA (482 nucleotides) under uncultured bacterium. RNAcentral describes it as "partial 16S ribosomal RNA". It matches the Rfam family "Bacterial small subunit ribosomal RNA", at positions 28 to 523 of the family's 1533-position model. The record is from RNAcentral.